This 253-nucleotide ribosomal RNA is filed under the name uncultured bacterium. RNAcentral's name for it is "partial 16S ribosomal RNA". It matches the Rfam family "Bacterial small subunit ribosomal RNA", at positions 524 to 776 of the family's 1533-position model. The record is from RNAcentral.
GACAGAGGGUGCAAACGUUGUUCGGAAUUACUGGGUGUAAAGCGCGUGUAGGCUGCUUCGCAAGUCGGAUGUGAAAGCCCUGGGCUCAACCUAGGAAGUGCAUUCGAAACUGCGAAGCUUGAGUCCUGGAGAGGAAGGCGGAAUUCUCGGUGUAGAGGUGAAAUUCGUAGAUAUCGAGAGGAACACCGGUGGCGAAGGCGGCCUUCUGGACAGUGACUGACGCUGAGACGCGAAAGCGUGGGGAGCAAACAGG